RNAcentral lists this ribosomal RNA (650 nucleotides) under uncultured marine eukaryote. RNAcentral's name for it is "bacterial SSU rRNA". It matches the Rfam family "Eukaryotic small subunit ribosomal RNA", at positions 615 to 1297 of the family's 1831-position model. The record is from RNAcentral.
GCUGUUAAAAAGCUCGUAGUUGGAUCAAGAGUCGGACAGUGCACGGUGGCCCUGUUUGCUUGUCUUUGGCUCCGGUCAGGGUGGCGGCAGCGGAACUACCCCGUGCAUCAAACUGUCCGCUCUAACAGGCCGAAGCGGUUCCCUGUGAGUAGACUCCUUAAUUGGGGUGGAAAGCGCCUACGCAUCAACCACAUGCAUACGGGACGUCGGCCAAUGUUACUGUGAACAAACCAGCGUGUCCAAAGCAGGCUUGCCUGAAUGUUCGAGCAUGGAAUAACAAGGGAUCGAUUCUCUCGGUUCUUUUUGUUGGUUUUUAACCCGAGAAGGAGUAAUGCAGGCCACGGUGUCUGAGGUGGGUUUCCCUAGGCUUUCCACACUGUAAACAAUGCCGUCUCAGGAUUGAGAAGUGAACCUAAUGACUUUCACAGCACUAACCCCUGAAACGAGAAAUCAAAGAUUAUGGGUUCAGGGGGGAGUACAUUCGCAAGGCUGAAACUUAAAGGAAUUGACGGAAUGACACCACAAGGCGUGGAGUAUGCGGCUUAAUUUGACUCAACACGGGGAAUUUUACUAGGUCAGGACAAUGUAAGGAUUGACAGAUUGAGAGCUCUUUCUCGAUCCAUUGUGUGGUGGUGCAUGGCCGCUCCUGG